This 253-nucleotide ribosomal RNA is filed under the name uncultured bacterium. RNAcentral describes it as "partial 16S ribosomal RNA". It matches the Rfam family "Bacterial small subunit ribosomal RNA", at positions 524 to 776 of the family's 1533-position model. The record is from RNAcentral.
UACAGAGGGUGCGAGCGUUGUUCGGAAUUACUGGGCGUAAAGCGCACGUAGGCGGCUUUGUAAGUUAGAGGUGAAAGCCUGGAGCUCAACUCCAGAAUUGCCUUUAAGACUGCAUCGCUUGAAUCCAGGAGAGGUGAGUGGAAUUCCGAGUGUAGAGGUGAAAUUCGUAGAUAUUCGGAAGAACACCAGUGGCGAAGGCGGCUCACUGGACUGGUAUUGACGCUGAGGUGCGAAAGCGUGGGGAGCAAACAGG